UCUUCAACGAGGAAUCCCUAGUAAGCGUGAGUCAUCAGCUCAUGUUGAUUACGUCCCUGCCCUUUGUACACACCGCCCGUCGCUACUACCGAUUGAAUGGCUUAGUGAGACUCUCGGAUCGGGUUUUGGGAACCGGCAACGGAUCCUUUCUUCUGAGAAGUUUGUCAAACUUGGUCAUUUAGAGGAAGUAAAAGUCGUAACAAGGUUUCCGUAGGUGAACCUGCGGAAGGAUCAUUAGAAUAUUCGGGAAUUUUUUUCCUAAAUAUCUUAUUCAAAAAAUUUCCAUUCUAUUAAAAAAUAAUUUUUUAAACUUUAUUAAAAAAAUAAAGACAACUUUCAACAACGGAUCUCUUGGCUCUUGCAUCGAUGAAGAACGCAGUGAAAUGCGAUACGUAAUGUGAAUUGCAGAAUUCCGUGAAUCAUCAAAUCUUUGAACGCAAAUUGCACUCCUUGGUAUUCCGAGGAGUAUGCUUGCUUGAGGGUCGAAUCAUAUUAUCGUUUUAUAACGGAUCUGGGUUUUUCCAAGUUUUUUUUAAACCUUGGUAACCUAAAAUUUAUCUUAAUAAUAUUUGUAAUAUUGAAAAUGUGUAUCUUACGUUCACGUGAGUUUAUUGACAAUCAUUAUGAAUUUAUUACGUCGUAUUAUUCACUCGAUUUUUUUAACGAUCGGGGCGAAAAUGAUACAAUUUUUUAAAAUUCGACCUCAAGUCAAGUAAGAAUACCCGCUGAACUUAAGCAUAUCAAUAAGCGGAGGAAAAGAAACUAACAAGGAUUCCCUUAGUAACGGCGAGUGAACUGGGAAGAGCUCAAAUUUAAAAUCAUCAGGGUUUCCUUGAUGAGUUGUAAUUUGAAGAAAGUGUUUUGAUGUUCGGGUUUCAUCUAAAUCCUUUGGGAUAAGGUAUCAUAGAGGGUGAGAAUCCCGUUCGUGAUUAAACCUCGGAUGUCACUUAAUUCAUUUUCUAAGAGUCGAGUUGUUUGGGAUUGCAGCUCAAAAUGGGGUGGUAAAUUUCACCUAAGGCUAAAUAUAUGCGAGAGACCGAUAGCGAACAAGUACCGUGAGGGAAAGAUGAAAAGAACUUUGAAAAGAGAGUUAAAUAGUACGUGAAAUUGUUGAAAGGGAAACGAUUGAAGUCAGUCAUGCUAGUGAGGAAUCAACUCGGUGGUUUUCUUCCGGGUGUACUUUCUCGCCUGGCAGGUUAGCAUCAAUUUCGUUCAUCAUUAAAUGAUCGGGGUAAUGUGGCUUCUCUUCGGAGUAGUGUUAUAGACCUUGGUAGAUGUGAUGAUCGGGAUUGAGGAUUGCAGCGAAUGCUAUUUGGCUAGUCCCCUGAUUUCUGAUGGUCACCUCGCCUUCGACAGCUUGCUGACGUGGGUGGGUUCUGAUUGUCUAGAUGUUAGAGUGAUCAUAUAUUCGCUAAGGAUGCUGACGUAAUGGCUUUAAACGACCCGUCUUGAAACACGGACCAAGGAGUCUAACAUAUGUGCGAGUGUU
RNAcentral lists this ribosomal RNA (1489 nucleotides) under Acaulospora koskei. Its description in RNAcentral is "eukaryotic LSU rRNA". The stretch from base 699 to 1489 matches the Rfam family "Eukaryotic large subunit ribosomal RNA", at positions 1 to 694 of the family's 3401-position model. The record is from RNAcentral. Lineage: Eukaryota; Fungi; Glomeromycota; Glomeromycetes; Diversisporales; Acaulosporaceae.